This 521-nucleotide ribosomal RNA is filed under the name uncultured Glomeraceae. Its description in RNAcentral is "SSU rRNA". It matches the Rfam family "Eukaryotic small subunit ribosomal RNA", at positions 569 to 1092 of the family's 1831-position model. Lineage: Eukaryota; Fungi; Glomeromycota; Glomeromycetes; Glomerales; Glomeraceae. The record is from RNAcentral.
AGCAGCCGCGGUAAUUCCAGCUCCAAUAGCGUAUAUUAAAGUUGUUACAGUUAAAAAGCUCGUAGUUGAAUUUUGGGAUCAAUGGGUUGGUCAUGCCCUCGGUAUGUACUGAUUUCAUUGGUUCUCACCUUCUAAGGAACCAUGAUGUCAUUCGUUUGAUGUUGUGGGGAAUUAGGACUGUUACCUUGAAAAAAUUAGAGUGUUUAAAGCAGGCUAACGUUUGAAUACAUUAGCAUGGAAUAAUGAAAUAGGACAUCCGAUUCUAUUUUGUUGGUUUUUAGGAUCGAUGUAAUGAUUAAUAGGGAUAGUUGGAGGCAUUAGUAUUCAAUUGUCAGAGGUGAAAUUCUUGGAUUUAUUGAAGACUAACUACUGCGAAAGCAUUUGCCAAGGAUGUUUUCAUUAAUCAAGAACGAAAGUUAGAGGAUCGAAGACGAUCAGAUACCGUCGUAGUCUUAACCAUAAACUAUGCCGACUAGGGAUCGGAUGAUGCUUAUUUUUAAUGACUCAUUCGGCACCUUACG